GCGGUAAGGCCCUUCGGGGUACACGAGCGGCGAACGGGUGAGUAACACGUGGGUGAUCUGCCUUGCACUCUGGGAUAAGCCUGGGAAACUGGGUCUAAUACCGGAUAGGACCAUGCCAUGCAUGUGGUGUGGUGGAAAGAUUUAUCGGUGUGAGAUGGGCCCGCGGCCUAUCAGCUUGUUGGUGGGGUAAUGGCCUACCAAGGCGACGACGGGUAGCCGGCCUGAGAGGGCGACCGGCCACACUGGGACUGAGACACGGCCCAGACUCCUACGGGAGGCAGCAGUGGGGAAUAUUGCACAAUGGGCGGAAGCCUGAUGCAGCGACGCCGCGUGAGGGAUGACGGCCUUCGGGUUGUAAACCUCUUUCGACUCCGACGAAGCGAAAGUGACGGUAGGGGUAGAAGAAGCACCGGCCAACUACGUGCCAGCAGCCGCGGUAAUACGUAGGGUGCGAGCGUUGUCCGGAAUUACUGGGCGUAAAGAGCUUGUAGGCGGUUUGUCGCGUCGUCCGUGAAAACUCAGGGCUCAACUCUGAGCUUGCGGGCGAUACGGGCAGACUUGAGUACUGCAGGGGAGACUGGAAAUUCCUGGUGUAGCGGUGAAAUGCGCAGAUAUCAGGAGGAACACCGGUGGCGAAGGCGGGUCUCUGGGCAGUAACUGACGCUGAGAAGCGAAAGCGUGGUAGCG
This 687-nucleotide ribosomal RNA is filed under the name Nocardia sp. RNAcentral describes it as "bacterial SSU rRNA". It matches the Rfam family "Bacterial small subunit ribosomal RNA", at positions 66 to 770 of the family's 1533-position model. Lineage: Bacteria; Bacillati; Actinomycetota; Actinomycetes; Mycobacteriales; Nocardiaceae. The record is from RNAcentral.